RNAcentral lists this ribosomal RNA (460 nucleotides) under uncultured bacterium. Its description in RNAcentral is "partial 16S ribosomal RNA". It matches the Rfam family "Bacterial small subunit ribosomal RNA", at positions 338 to 795 of the family's 1533-position model. The record is from RNAcentral.
CCUUCGGGUGGCUGCAGUGAGGAAUAUUGGUCAAUGGACGAGAGUCUGAACCAGCCAAGUAGCGUGAAGGAUGACUGCCCUAUGGGUUGUAAACUUCUUUUAUAUGGGAAUAAAAUGUUCCACGUGUGGGAUUUUGUAUGUACCAUAUGAAUAAGGAUCGGCGAACUCCGUGCCAGCAGCCGCGGUAAUACGGAGGAUCCGAGCGUUAUCCGGAUUUAGUGGGUUUAAAGGGAGCGUAGGUGGAUGGUUAAGGCAGUUGUGAAAGUUUGAGGCUCAACCGUAAAAUUGCAGUUGAAACUGUCAGUCUUGAGUACAGUAGAGGUGAGCGGAAUUCGUGGUGUAGCGGUGAAAUGCUUAGAUAUCACGAAGAACUCCGAUUGCGAAGGCAGUUCACUGGACUGCAACUGACACUGAGGCUCGAAAGUGUGGGUAUCAAACAGGAUUAGAUACCCUGGUAGUC